AUUGAACGCUGGCGGCAUGCUUUACACAUGCAAGUCGAACGGUAACAGGCCUUCGGGUUCUGCCGAGUGGCGAACGGGUGAGUAAUGCAUCGGAACGUACCCAGAGUUGGGGGAUAGCGCAGCGUAAGCUGUGCUAAUACCGCAUGUGAUCUGAGGAUGAAAGCGGGGGACCGCGCAGCAAUGUUUGGCCUCGCGCCUUUGGUGCGGCCGAUGUCGGAUUAGCUAGUUGGUGGGGUAAUGGCCUACCAAGGCGACGAUCCGUAGCUGGUCUGAGAGGACGACCAGCCACACUGGGACUUGGACACGGCACAGACUCCUACGAUAGGCAGCAGUGUGGAAUUUUGGACAAUGGGCGCAAGCCUGAUCCAGCAAGGCCGCGUGAGGGCAGGAGGCCUUCGGGUUGGAAACCGCGUUUGGAAGGAAAGAAAAGGUGUCCGCUAAUAUCAGGCGCGAAUGACGGUACCGGUAGAAAAAGCAAUGGCUAACUUCGUG
RNAcentral lists this ribosomal RNA (492 nucleotides) under uncultured bacterium. RNAcentral's name for it is "partial 16S ribosomal RNA". It matches the Rfam family "Bacterial small subunit ribosomal RNA", at positions 30 to 507 of the family's 1533-position model. The record is from RNAcentral.